UACGGAGGGUGCGAGCGUUGUCCGGAAUCACUGGGCGUAAAGGGCGCGUAGGCGGCCACCGCAAGUCAAUUGUGAAAUCUCCGGGCUUAACUCGGAAAGGUCAACUGAUACUGCGGGGCUAGAGUGCGGAAGGGGCAACUGGAAUUCUCGGUGUAGCGGUGAAAUGCGUAGAUAUCGAGAGGAACACCUGCGGCGAAGGCGGGUUGCUGGGCCGACACUGACGCUGAUGCGCGAAAGCCAGGGGAGCGAACGGG
RNAcentral lists this ribosomal RNA (254 nucleotides) under uncultured bacterium. RNAcentral describes it as "partial 16S ribosomal RNA". It matches the Rfam family "Bacterial small subunit ribosomal RNA", at positions 524 to 776 of the family's 1533-position model. The record is from RNAcentral.